Non-coding RNA from Vicia faba (fava bean), 210 nucleotides. NCBI's taxonomy places the organism in Eukaryota, Viridiplantae, Streptophyta, Magnoliopsida, Fabales, Fabaceae. The record is from the annotation of a GenBank genome assembly.
AUGAAUGAUUGGGCUCCUCCUCUCAUAGCUGCAGCACUGUUUUGGCUAUUAUCUCCAGGAAUGAUCUUUCAGCUUCCAGGGAAGAAUGCACCCUUUGAGUUUAUGAACAUGAAGACAACUAUUGCGUCGAUUUUUGUACAUGCUGUUAUUUAUGGUUUGCUUCUUAUGUUGUUCUUUGUUGUUCUUAAUGUUCAUCUUUAUAUCACUUGA